Molecule: ribosomal RNA, 478 nt
Filed under: uncultured anaerobic ammonium-oxidizing bacterium
Lineage: Bacteria
Description: bacterial SSU rRNA
Rfam family: Bacterial small subunit ribosomal RNA
Source: RNAcentral
UUUCGCAAUGCCCGAAAGGGUGACGAAGCGACGCCGCGUGAGUGAGGAAGGCCUUCGGGUUGUAAAGCUCUGUCAGGAGUUAAGAAAUAUAAGUGUGUUAAUACCACAUUUAUUUGACGAAGGCUCCAAAGGAAGCCACGGCUAACUCUGUGCCAGCAGCCGCGGUAAUACAGAGGUGGCAAGCGUCGUUCGGAAUUAUUGGGCGUAAAGAGCACGUAGGUGGGUUUGUAAGUCAGAUGUGAAAGCCUUCUGUUCAACGGAAGAAUUGCAUCUGAAACUGCGAGUCUUGAGUGUAGGAGGGGAGAAUGGAACUUCUGGUGGAGCGGUGAAAUGCGUAGAUAUCAGAAGGAACGCCGGCGGCGAAAGCGAUUCUCUGGCCUAUUACUGACACUCAGUGUGCGAAAGCUAGGGGAGCAAACGGGAUUAGAUACCCCGGUAGUCCUAGCUGUAAACGAUGGGCACUAAGUAGAGGGGUUUU